UCUCAGUGCCACCGCUUCCGGUGAAAGUGUCGCCGAAGGUACGCUAACUGGCCCGUAUUGGCCCCCGUUACCCCAUAAUAGGAGCCUGAAGUCGCGAUUAUCUCUCGGAGUAGGUGACCCAGAGCGACGAAACUUGGCAGACUUGUUCGCCCCGAUGGGCCACGCAUGCCAAAAGUGCAAUGUGGCGUCUCAGUGCCACCGCUUCCGGUGAAAGUGUCGCCGAAGGUACGCUAACUGGCCCGUAUUGGCCCCGUUACCCCAUAAUAGGAGCCUGAAGUCGCGAUUAUCUCUCGGAGUAGGUGACCCAGAGCGACGAAACUUGGCAGACUUGUUCGCCCCGAUGGGCCACGCAUGCCAAAAGUGCAAUGUGGCGUCUCAGUGCCACCGCUUCCGGUGAAAGUGUCGCCGAAGGUACGCUAACUGGCCCGUAUUGGCCCCCGUUACCCCAUAAUAGGAGCCUGAAGUCGCGAUUAUCUCUCGGAGUAGGUGACCCAGAGCGACGAAACUUGGCAGACUUGUUCGCCCCGAUGGGCCACGCAUGCCAAAAGUGCAAUGUGGCGUCUCAGUGCCACCGCUUCCGGUGAAAGUGUCGCCGAAGGUACGCUAACUGGCCCGUAUUGGCCCCGUUACCCCAUAAUAGGAGCCUGAAGUCGCGAUUAUCUCUCGGAGUAGGUGACCCAGAGCGACGAAACUUGGCAGACUUGUUCGCCCCGAUGGGCCACGCAUGCCAAAAGUGCAAUGUGGCGUCUCAGUGCCACCGCUUCCGGUGAAAGUGUCGCCGAAGGUACGCUAACUGGCCCGUAUUGGCCCCGUUACCCCAUAAUAGGAGCCUGAAGUCGCGAUUAUCUCUCGGAGUAGGUGACCCAGAGCGACGAAACUUGGCAGACUUGUUCGCCCCGAUGGGCCACGCAUGCCAAAAGUGCAAUGUGGCGUCUCAGUGCCACCGCUUCCGGUGAAAGUGUCGCCGAAGGUACGCUAACUGGCCCGUAUUGGCCCCGUUACCCCAUAAUAGGAGCCUGAAGUCGCGAUUAUCUCUCGGAGUAGGUGACCCAGAGCGACGAAACUUGGCAGACUUGUUCGCCCCGAUGGGCCACGCAUGCCAAAAGUGCAAUGUGGCGUCUCAGUGCCACCGCUUCCGGUGAAAGUGUCGCCGAAGGUACGCUAACUGGCCCGUAUUGGCCCCCGUUACCCCAUAAUAGGAGCCUGAAGUCGCGAUUAUCUCUCGGAGUAGGUGACCCAGAGCGACGAAACUUGGCAGACUUGUUCGCCCCGAUGGGCCACGCAUGCCAAAAGUGCAAUGUGGCGUCUCAGUGCCACCGCUUCCGGUGAAAGUGUCGCCGAAGGUACGCUAACUGGCCCGUAUUGGCCCCCGUUACCCCAUAAUAGGAGCCUGAAGUCGCGAUUAUCUCUCGGAGUAGGUGACCCAGAGCGACGAAACUUGGCAGACUUGUUCGCCCCGAUGGGCCACGCAUGCCAAAAGUGCAAUGUGGCGUCUCAGUGCCACCGCUUCCGGUGAAAGUGUCGCCGAAGGUACGCUAACUGGCCCGUAUUGGCCCCGUUACCCCAUAAUAGGAGCCUGAAGUCGCGAUUAUCUCUCGGAGUAGGUGACCCAGAGCGACGAAACUUGGCAGACUUGUUCGCCCCGAUGGGCCACGCAUGCCAAAAGUGCAAUGUGGCGUCUCAGUGCCACCGCUUCCGGUGAAAGUGUCGCCGAAGGUACGCUAACUGGCCCGUAUUGGCCCCCGUUACCCCAUAAUAGGAGCCUGAAGUCGCGAUUAUCUCUCGGAGUAGGUGACCCAGAGCGACGAAACUUGGCAGACUUGUUCGCCCCGAUGGGCCACGCAUGCCAAAAGUGCAAUGUGGCGUCUCAGUGCCACCGCUUCCGGUGAAAGUGUCGCCGAAGGUACGCUAACUGGCCCGUAUUGGCCCCCGUUACCCCAUAAUAGGAGCCUGAAGUCGCGAUUAUCUCUCGGAGUAGGUGACCCAGAGCGACGAAACUUGGCAGACUUGUUCGCCCCGAUGGGCCACGCAUGCCAAAAGUGCAAUGUGGCGUCUCAGUGCCACCGCUUCCGGUGAAAGUGUCGCCGAAGGUACUCUA
Long non-coding RNA from Dreissena polymorpha, 2098 nucleotides. RefSeq lists it as uncharacterized. The record is from RefSeq and is a predicted model, not a curated record. The transcript has 3 exons. NCBI's taxonomy places the organism in Eukaryota, Metazoa, Mollusca, Bivalvia, Myida, Dreissenidae.